This 436-nucleotide ribosomal RNA is filed under the name uncultured bacterium. RNAcentral's name for it is "bacterial SSU rRNA". It matches the Rfam family "Bacterial small subunit ribosomal RNA", at positions 63 to 501 of the family's 1533-position model. The record is from RNAcentral.
CGAGCGAAGUACCAGAGUAUCGGGCUCUUAGCGGCAGACGGGUGAGUAACACGUAAACUAUCUGCCCUCGAAUGGGAGACAACCUGGCGAAAGUCGGGCUAAUACCCCAUACAAUCCUCUCGGAGCAUUCCGAGGGGAUGAAAGGCCCGCAAGGGUCGUUCGAGGAGGAGUUUGCGGCCUAUCAGCUAGUUGGCGGUGUAACGGACCACCAAGGCUAUGACGGGUAGCCGAUCUAAAAGGAUGACCGGCCACAAGGGCACUGAGACACGGGCCCUACUCCUACGGGAGGCAGCAGUGGGGAAUUUUGGACAAUGGACGAAAGUCUGAUCCAGCGACGCCGCGUGAAGGACGAAGGUUUUCGGAUCGUAAACUUCUUUUGCAGGGGACGAAAGGGCGCAAGCCUCUGACGGUACUCUGCGAAUAAGCCACGGCUAAC